CAGCUGCGCGAGUCCAACCAGCAGCUGGACCUGAGUGCCUGCCGGCUGACCACGCAGUGUGAGCUAUUGACACAGCUGCGAAGUGCCCAGGAAGAGGAGAACCGGCAGCUGCUGGCUGAAGUUCAGGCCCUGAGCCGGGAGAACAGGGAGCUCCUGGAGCGCAGCCUGGAGAGUCGGGACCACCUGCACCGCGAACAGCGGGAGUACCUGGACCAGCUUAAUGCCCUGCGCCGCGAGAAGCAGAAGCUCGUGGAGAAGAUCAUGGACCAAUACCGCGUGCUGGAGCCUGUGCCCCUGCCCCGGACCAAG
Molecule: long non-coding RNA, 309 nt
Filed under: Pan troglodytes (chimpanzee)
Lineage: Eukaryota; Metazoa; Chordata; Mammalia; Primates; Hominidae
Description: long non-coding RNA NONPTRT002671
Source: RNAcentral